Molecule: ribosomal RNA, 492 nt
Filed under: uncultured bacterium
Lineage: Bacteria
Description: partial 16S ribosomal RNA
Rfam family: Bacterial small subunit ribosomal RNA
Source: RNAcentral
AGUGAACGCUGGCGGUAGGCCUAACACAUGCAAGUCGAACGGCAGCACAGUAAGAGCUUGCUCUUACGGGUGGCGAGUGGCGGACGGGUGAGGAAUACAUCGGACUCUACUUUUUCGUGGGGGAUAACGUAGGGAAACUUACGCUAAUACCGCAUACGACCUACGGGUGAAAGCAGGGGAUCUUCGGACCUUGCGCGAUUGACUGAGCCGAUGUCGGAUUAGCUAGUUGGCGGGGUAAAGGCCCACCAAGGCGACGAUCCGUAGCUGGUCUGAGAGGAUGAACAGCCACACUGGAACUGAGACACGGUCCAGACUCCUACGGGAGGCAGCAGUGGGGAAUAUUGGACAAUGGGCGCAAGCCUGAUCCAGCCAUACCGCGUGGGUGAAGAAGGCCUUCGGGUUGUAAAGCCCUUUUGUUGGGAAAGAAAAGCAGCAGGUUAAUACCCCGCUGUUCUGACGGUACCCAAAGAAUAAGCACCGGCUAACUUCGUG